CCUACGGGAGGCAGCAGUGAGGAAUAUUGGUCAAUGGGCGUAAGCCUGAACCAGCCAAGUCGCGUGAGGGAUGAAGGUUCUAUGGAUCGUAAACCUCUUUUAUAAGGGAAUAAAGUGUGGGACGCGUCCCGGUUUGUAUGUACCUUAUGAAUAAGCAUCGGCUAACUCCGUGCCAGCAGCCGCGGUAAUACGGAGGAUCCGAGCGUUAUCCGGAUUUAUUGGGUUUAAAGGGUGCGUAGGCGGCCUUUUUAGUCAGCGGUGAAAGUCUGUGGCUCAACCAUAGAAUUGCCGUUGAAACUGGGAGCCUUGAGUAUGUUUGAGGCAGGCGGAAUGCGUGGUGUAGCGGUGAAAUGCUUAGAUAUCGCGCAGAACCCCGAUUGCGAAGGCAGCAUGCCGAGCCAUGACUGACGCUGAUGCACGAAAGCGUGGGGAUCAAACAGGAUUAGAUACCCCUGUAGUC
This 460-nucleotide ribosomal RNA is filed under the name uncultured bacterium. Its description in RNAcentral is "partial 16S ribosomal RNA". It matches the Rfam family "Bacterial small subunit ribosomal RNA", at positions 338 to 795 of the family's 1533-position model. The record is from RNAcentral.